Molecule: ribosomal RNA, 751 nt
Filed under: uncultured bacterium
Lineage: Bacteria
Description: bacterial SSU rRNA
Rfam family: Bacterial small subunit ribosomal RNA
Source: RNAcentral
UGGAGCAAUCCAUGAGUAAAGUGGCGACCGGGUGAGUAACACGUGACUAACCUACCUCCGAGUGGGGAAUAACUCCGGGAAACCGGGGCUAAUACCGCAUAACAUCGCAAGAUCAAAGCAGCAAUGCGCUUGGAGAGGGGGUCGCGGCUGAUUAGCUAGUUGGCGGGGUAACGGCCCACCAAGGCGAAGAUCGGUAUCCGGCCUGAGAGGGCGCACGGACACACUGGAACUGAAACACGGUCCAGACUCCUACGGGAGGCAGCAGUGGGGAAUUUUGCGCAAUGGGGGAAACCCUGACGCAGCAACGCCGCGUGGAGGAUGAAGCCCUUUGGGGCGUAAACUCCUUUCGACCAAGACGAUAAUGACGGUACUGGUGGAAGAAGCACCGGCUAACUCUGUGCCAGCAGCCGCGGUAAUACAGAGGGUGCAAGCGUUGUUCGGAAUUAUUGGGCGUAAAGGGCGCGUAGGCGGUGCCACAAGUCACUUGUGAAAUCUCCGGGCUUAACUCGGAGUCUGCAGGCGAAACUGUGGUGCUGGAGUGUGGGAGAGGUGCGUGGAAUUCCCGGUGUAGCGGUGAAAUGCGUAGAUAUCGGGAGGAACACCUGUGGCGAAAGCGGCGCACUGGACCAUAACUGACGCUGAGGCGCGAAAGCUAGGGGAGCAAACAGGAUUAGAUACCCUGGUAGUCCUAGCCCUAAACGAUGAUUGCUUGGUGUAGCAGGUACCCAAUCCUGCUGUGCCGCAGCUAACG